RNAcentral lists this unclassified non-coding RNA (304 nucleotides) under plant metagenome. Its description in RNAcentral is "partial contains 5.8S ribosomal RNA, internal transcribed spacer 2, and large subunit ribosomal RNA". The stretch from base 1 to 104 matches the Rfam family "5.8S ribosomal RNA", at positions 51 to 154 of the family's 154-position model. The record is from RNAcentral.
GAAUGCGAUAAGUAGUGUGAAUUGCAGAAUUCAGUGAAUCAUCGAAUCUUUGAACGCACAUUGCGCCCUUUGGUAUUCCUUAGGGCAUGCCUGUUCGAGCGUCAUCUAAACCUUCAAGCCCUGCUUGGUGUUGGGUGCCUGUCCCGCCUCCGCGCGCGGACUCACCUCAAAUCCAUUGGCGGCCCCCGCGUCGGCCACGAGCGCAGCAGAAACGCGAACUCGUGAGCCCGUCCGGGCGGCUCCCAGAAGCUACACCCACCCAGUUUGACCUCGGAUCAGGUAGGGAUACCCGCUGAACUUAAGC